RNAcentral lists this long non-coding RNA (2236 nucleotides) under Daphnia magna. RNAcentral's name for it is "uncharacterized LOC116929958, transcript variant X2". The record is from RNAcentral. Lineage: Eukaryota; Metazoa; Arthropoda; Branchiopoda; Diplostraca; Daphniidae.
UUAAUCAGUAUCAGUCCCAUCUGCUCUCCGAUAUUGGGUGUAUCGAUUUUCAUAUAAACCUGGAGGUGAUCCAAGUUCUUUUGGGGCAACUGGGAAGCAGCACCAUAGUACAAAUGCCACGAAUGCCACAAAUGUGCCAACCAAGAGUUCUUCUCCAAGAAGAAUUGAGUUAAUGAGGAACAUGAAGUCAUCAAAAGGUGUCAUCUUUCUGCUUUACUGUUUAAUAUGCAAAAAUUGUUGCAGGACAAAAGAUCAUGGGUUGAUCCGUUCAUUGGACGAAAAAAUUCCUCUAAAUGGAAAUAAGACCACAAAAACAGUUUUAUGACGCCACCAAAGACGUAUGUUUAACCAAGGGUAUCGAAGCACUUCGAAGCCUGUUUACAACGAAUGGAACUCACCCAAGAUGGAAAGUGGUUUAUAACGGGUUUCAUUACUAGACACUGGUAAAUCAAAUAUUAAAUUUUGUCUCUCUGGAUUUCCCACUUAAUCAGUUAAUCUUUACAUUUAUUAGGACCAUCCCAUUGCAAAGACACAAAACCAUCCAUACAACUCUUUGCAAAAGAUUUUACUGUCAACUACCUAAGGAAGGGCUAAACAGCAUCUUUUUUGCUAUACUGCGAUUAUUCCCCGGAUCGCCGGUUGCGGAUGUUUACAUCACAGAGACCACAGAGACAUAUUAAGUCAAAGAACAAGGAGAAUUCGGGCGAUUUAUACGCUGUCGUCUUAGGACUGAACAUCCGAUUUCAUGCUUUUGCAAAUGAAUUUGGUCAAGCAGUUUCGUUCUUUGGUUGUACCCACUGAAGAUCCAUCUUGUAAACGUUUCUUUAUAUGUGGAUCAACAGUUUUCUCCAUCAGUCGUAUAGCUCUAUCAAAGAGAAAGCAAGACUAUCAUACAAUGGUCGCAGCCAGACACGCCAACUUCUCUAGACAAGGAUUAUGAGUGUCAAGCAAGCCCCGGUGGCGCACGAAUUCGGCUAGUCUCUCGCCAUCGUCAGGUGAGUAAGAUUCUAGCAUGGCGUCCAUUGUUGGGAAAAAAUGGGCGUCCAAUAACGUAAUGUCAGCGUCUAAAAUGUCUCCGCUCAACGAAAAUUGCAAGUCAUCAUCAUAAUCAUUAUACAGGUCACGUUUCUUUCUUCCAAUUAGCGAGUUGGUAGUAUUGGUCAAUAAAGCCAGAGCUAGGGGUAUCAACAAUGAACUGAGCAGAAGGGAAGGUGCAAGCGAACUUAGAAGAUGAAUAGUGUCUGCUUUUGUGGCUCCUUGUUGUGCUGGAUAGGAGACCUAGACAGAAAUAAGAUGUUUAUCGAAAUGUUUAUACGAAAUCCAAGUUUUAGGACUAUUACGGAGUAAGAUGGAGAUCCGCCGCCGUAUGGUACGCCAAAUGAUGAAGAUCCGCUGUUCAGGCCGUAGCUACCGCCUGAGCUACCACCAAAAUUAAAACUGUUUCCACCUGAACCGUAACUACCUGCUCCAGUAGAUCCUGCUCCGUAACUGCUUAAUCCAGUAGAUCCUGCUCCGUAACUACUUGCUCCUGUAGAUCCUCCGUAACUACCACCUGUGAGUCCGCCAUAACUUGAACCAACUCCACCAGAACUUCCUCCAUAGCUUCCGCCUGAUCCAUAGUUUCCAAUAGAUCCUGUUGAAUCAUAACUUCCGAUUGCUCCGACAGAUGAGCUUCCGUAUCCUGCGCCUGCGCCGCCAGAUCCUCCUCCAUAUCCUCCACCGGAACUAGCUGAUCCACCUCCAUAGCUUCCGACCGAGCCACCCGAUCCAUAGCUUCCAAGCGAACCACCAGUGCCUGCCCCGUAGCCUCCACUGGCGGCGGAAGUAUAGCUGCAGCCAUAUGUAACAGAUCCAAACCUUGUGCUGGAUGCUGAAGCGGCCAAGUUGUUCGACUUCUGUUCAGCCUGAACGUCAGCUGCAAUUUGAUCUAAUUCGGGAUUUUCGGGAACUGCCUUGUCCAAAGAAUUAGACCCACUUAUAUAAGGAUCAACUGCAAGUGAAACACAUCAAUUUGAUAAAUGUAAAAAGCUUCGUUUUGAUACUGUGACGUGAUUUACCGUGAUUGGCUAAGUUAUUUGCUGCUACAACUGGUGGGGAUGAAGCAGCUGGAACUAGUGGCUCUUGUUGCUGAUGUAACAACUGGUGGUAAUUUUGCUGAUGUUUAAAAAGCUGUUGGUUGUGAUGCAGGUUGCCGAUGCUCGCAGAUGGAACUGAACAAUUUAAAAAGUUGAAUCUC